This 561-nucleotide ribosomal RNA is filed under the name Triticum aestivum (bread wheat). RNAcentral's name for it is "partial small subunit ribosomal RNA". Lineage: Eukaryota; Viridiplantae; Streptophyta; Magnoliopsida; Poales; Poaceae. The record is from RNAcentral.
AUGUCAUUUGGAUUGGCGUGUGCUCCACCAACAUUCAUAGGCGUUGUAACUUGUACCUUGCGACCCCUGUUGCGUGUCUGUGUCAUCCUCUUCUUCGAUGACAUCUUAGUUUUCAGUAAAACACUGGAACAACAUGUGGAACAUCUGAGUCAAGUGCUGCAAUUACUCCAAAGGGAUCACUGGCAAGUAAAGCAAUCCAAGUGUUCAUUCGGACAGCGACAGAUUGCUUACCUAGGGCAUGUGAUUGAUGAGCGAGGAGUUUCAACGGAUCCGGAGAAAAUUGCAACUAUCAGAAACUGGCCUGUGCCUCGUAACAGCAAAGAAGUGCGUAGUUUCCUUGGAUUGGCAGGUUACUACCGGAAAUUUGUCAAGCAUUUCAGCAUCAUUGCCAGACCUCUCUUCAAUUUACUCAAAAAGGGGCACCCGUUCGUGUGGACUGCUGAAACUAACAAAGCUUUCGAGCUACUGCAACAGGGCCUGGUUUCUGCGCCAGUUUUGCACUUGCCGGAUUUCACUAAGCAGUUUGUUAUUGAUACGGAUGCUUGUGAUUAUGGAGUUGGA